Molecule: ribosomal RNA, 1818 nt
Filed under: Triticum aestivum (bread wheat)
Lineage: Eukaryota; Viridiplantae; Streptophyta; Magnoliopsida; Poales; Poaceae
Description: partial small subunit ribosomal RNA
Source: RNAcentral
AUGGCGGCUCCAGAGGGGUCCUCGUCGUCGGCCGGCUGGACCGGGAAGAAUCUAGAGGAGAUGUUGCAGCACCUCGAUCUGAAGGACGAGGAGCUGGAUGAUGUGAUAGUAGGGGAAGAGGAGGUUAAGAAGUUUGAGGCAGAGGCACGAUGGAUGGCGAUCGGUAAGCUGAACACGACGCGUCCCUUUAGCUCCUCGGCGAUGUUUGAAACUUUAAAAUCAGUAUGGGGACUAGCGCAUGUGCCGAAGUACAGAGAGGCUGGAGACAACCUUUUUGUGUUCCAGAUGUUUUGCUUGGGUGAUUGGAAGAAGGUCGUUCAUGGCGGCCCAUGGCUGUUCAAGGGGAUGGGGUUGCUAAUCGAGGACUAUGAUGGCAAGACAGACCCAGCAUCGGUGGUCUUUGAUGGACUGUACGUGUGGGCACAAAUUCACAAUAUCCCCGAUUUAUACCGCAAGGUUGAAGUGGUGGAUCAGCUUGCUCGCCGCAUAGGCCGUGUGAAGGAGACUCAACUCGCUCCCAAGUUAUAUUACAAGGGAGACUACAUCAGAGUUCGAGCAAGGUUACUUGAGGAGCAUUUUUAUGACAUGGACAAGGCAGAAAUCCUAAACAUCCCUCUUAGCUCUAAGGUACAAGCAGACUUCUGGUCUUGGCACUAUGAUAAGAGGGGCCUUUUUAGUGUACGUUCGGCUUACAGGCUCCUGGCAGCCACAAAGGAGCAGCGGACUGAUUGGCUUGAGGGCAACCCUGGACACUCAAAUAUUGGCGCGGACAUGCGCUCUUGGUCAAAAUUGUGGGGCGCCACGAUUCCAUCAAAAAUCAAAGGUUUUGCAUGGCGACUUGCUAAAACGUCCAUCCCCACAGGCGAAGUUCGAAAACACAGGAAGAUGGCAGACUCGGCUGAAUGCUCGAUUUGUCAUGCGGCUCUAGAUACAUGGCGUCAUUCUCUCUUUGACUGCCGGCUUGCAAGGUGCGUCUGGGCGCUGGCCGACGAGGAGCUGACGGAUGUGCUUAUCUCUAAUCGUACUGAUGAUGCAAAGAAAUACUUAGAGGAUCUGGAGCUGGCUUCUGCACUCAAAACUAAUCAGCCCCAGGCACUGCAUGCAAAGGCGAGGGGUAUGCAUGCAAUUUCCAUAGGCAUGCAUGGAACGCAUAUGACAGAAACAGUUCCCACAGGCCCCUGCUGGCUGCAACCUGAUGCUCACGAGUUCAAAAUGAACGUGGAUGCCGGCCUGGCUAGGAACGGCUCAAAGGGGGUUGCAGCGGUAAUAUGCAGGGACAAGAGUGGCAAAUACAUGGGCGCCUCAGCCGUCGUCUUUGAGGGGCUCGUCGAUCCUGCGACACUUGAAGCCCAAGCGUGCAAGGAGGCUAUGGAUUUGGCUACAGAUCUUCAUCUCGACUCGUUGUGUAUUGCUUCAGACUGCCUAGAAGUGGUGGCCAAUAUCACAUCUGAGACCACCUGCCGGCCGACAGCCAUGGAGGAGUACAUGGCGAGCAUGAAGGUCCUCUAUACGGCAAAACAUGUGAGAAACGAGUCCGGGCAGCAUGCCAAAGAACCAAUUGAGACAUCGAUGGAAAAUUUCAAGGAUUAUAUUAAGGAAGAUAGAAGUGAAAAGAAUAGAUGCAUGCCUCUUGGCCAUGAAGAGAAAUAUAAUGAGUCCUGCACCGGAGGAGCCAAAGUCCCCGAGGCAACCGUGAUAGAAGUUGAUCUGGAGGUGAUGCUUGCUGUGAAGACCUCAUCUGAUACAAGAGAGCUGAUGCCAAGGAAAGUUAAUAAACCAACUAACAACAUAAACAUUUGCGUACAACCCUCGGUAUAA